This 465-nucleotide ribosomal RNA is filed under the name Vreelandella stevensii. Its description in RNAcentral is "partial 16S ribosomal RNA". It matches the Rfam family "Bacterial small subunit ribosomal RNA", at positions 338 to 795 of the family's 1533-position model. The record is from RNAcentral. Lineage: Bacteria; Pseudomonadati; Pseudomonadota; Gammaproteobacteria; Oceanospirillales; Halomonadaceae.
CCUACGGGGGGCAGCAGUGGGGAAUAUUGGACAAUGGGCGAAAGCCUGAUCCAGCCAUGCCGCGUGUGUGAAGAAGGCCUUCGGGUUGUAAAGCACUUUCAGUGGGGAAGAAAGCCUUGGGGCUAAUACCCUCGAGGAAGGACAUCACCCACAGAAGAAGCACCGGCUAACUCCGUGCCAGCAGCCGCGGUAAUACGGAGGGUGCGAGCGUUAAUCGGAAUUACUGGGCGUAAAGCGCGCGUAGGCGGUCUGAUAAGCCGGUUGUGAAAGCCCCGGGCUCAACCUGGGAACGGCAUCCGGAACUGUCAGGCUAGAGUGCAGGAGAGGAAGGUAGAAUUCCCGGUGUAGCGGUGAAAUGCGUAGAGAUCGGGAGGAAUACCAGUGGCGAAGGCGGCCUUCUGGACUGACACUGACGCUGAGGUGCGAAAGCGUGGGUAGCAAACAGGAUUAGAUAGCCGAGUAGUC